Triticum urartu is the source of this 1374-nucleotide non-coding RNA. The record is from RefSeq and is a predicted model, not a curated record. Lineage: Eukaryota; Viridiplantae; Streptophyta; Magnoliopsida; Poales; Poaceae.
GCCAACUGCGUGCUCCUGCUGCUGCUUCAUCGCGCGUGUGUGCUAACAUCCUCUCUGCCCGGUGCGUCCUCAUCCAGCGAGCUCACUGCCCCGAUCCGACAUCGUUUGCCUAUUCCAACACCAGUGUUCAGGUCGCGCCUCAUCCAGCGAGCUCACUGCCUCGGUCCGACAUCGUUCGCAUGUUCAAACAGCAGUGUCCAGGUCGCCUGCAAGGUGUUCGGUCAAUUGACCGGACCGAGCCCAGGUACAACUAAUGUGGAUAAAGACGCCUGCUUUCUUCGUUGGAGCAAGCAGUUCAGUGGAUGGAUACCAUUUUAUGCCCACUGUUUUCGUGGUAUUAACAAUCAUGAUGCCAACAUGAUGUGUACCAUAUAUUUUAUGAUGCUAUUUAUGUAUUUAUGUAACUGGAUGAUCUUUUUCUUAUUUGCAAAUCAAAAUCAGCCCAGGCAAAUUAAUAUCGAUGACUUCCAGGCAAAUCAAAAUCAGCCCAGGCUAUUGUCUUCUGUUUCAGAUUGGUGACUGGGUAUGUUUAAAAAGAGAAUGCCCUAGAAAGAUCAGUCAUACAAGAGAGUUUGUCAGUUUCAGAUCAGUGACAUAUCUUCAGAGUCAUUCAUUUAUCAUCAUACAAAAACCAUCAAAUGAAUUCUCUUUACCGGAUGCUUUCCAGUUUUCUUAGUGUCAAGUAAAGAUUCGAUUAGCUGGGUAUAAUGCAUUUCUGAUCAGCAACCUUGAAACCAAAACGGUUAAAAUAGUAAAUAGUAAAUAAAUUUAAUUCCACACUUCCGUAUUCAACCAAAGUACACCCUGUUCUUUUGCUGCAAGUGCUAUUGUUAAUUAAAAUAUCUCCUUAGUAUAAUGUGGCAGAAUCUCAAUACACUUGUGGUGGAUCCUCUAAUCCUGUACCUGCCAAAUAUAUAAAUCAUUCUAUUUAUACAUAGAGUAUCUAUGUAGUGCCAUCCUAACUAGGGGUGACCAUUUUUAUAUGAUGGAUAGUUGAGCUUGGUGAGCGCGGAUGGGGAGUGGAUGGCAUGGAAGAGAAGGUUGCGAGGAAGGAGAAUAAGCAGGGGAGCCAGAGCAUGAGUAGCGACCUUGCGAAUUUGGUGAAUGGGUUUCCAGGCUUUGAUUAUGCGCCAGGCAAGGUUGGUAGUUCUUUACCGGCAGCGGCGGUGGCAGAAUGGCGAGGCCGAUUUGAACCCGGCUGCCCCUCUCUGUUGGUCUAAACGCUUAUUUUUUAUCGUUGACAAUGAAGUGUUCAUAGUCAUUUAGAUGCAGUGGCGAGCUCAUAUAGUAGCUUCAGUUCUAUCAAAUGUACAUGUUUAAUGUAGCUUCAAUGUUUGCCCUUUCUUUAUCUUGAGUAGUGAUAGUUCAAUGCUA